GGUGGUUGAUCGCGUCGAAAGUGUAAUCUUGGGGCUUAACCCUGAGCGUGCUUUCGAUACGGGUUGACUUGAGGAAGGUAGGGGAGAAUGGAAUUCCUGGUGGAGCGGUGGAAUGCGCAGAUAUCAGGAGGAACACCAGUGGCGAAGGCGGUUCUCUGGGCCUUUCCUGACGCUGAGGAGCGAAAGCGUGGGGAGCGAACAGGCUUAGAUACCCUGGUAGUCCACGCUGUAAACGGUGGGUACUAGGUGUGGGGUCCAUUCCACGGGUUCCGUGCCGUAGCUAACGCUUUAAGUACCCCGCCUGGGGAGUACGGCCGCAAGGCUAAAACUCAAAGGAAUUGACGGGGCCCCGCACAAGCGGCGGAGCAUGCGGAUUAAUUCGAUGCAACGCGUAGAACCUUACCUGGGUUUGACAUGGAUCGGGAGUGCUCAGAGAUGGGUGUGCCUCUUUUGGGGUCGGUUCACAGGUGGUGCAUGGCUGUCGUCAGCUCGUGUCGUGAGAUGUUGGGUUAAGUCCCGCAACGAGCGCAACCCUUGUUCACUGUUGCCAGCACGUUAUGGUGGGGACUCAGUGGAGACCGCCGGGGUCAACUCGGAGGAAGGUGGGGAUGACGUCAAGUCAUCAUGCCCCUUAUGUCCAGGGCUUCACGCAUGCUACAAUGGCUGGUACAGAGAGUGGCGAGCCUGUGAGGGUGAGCGAAUCUCGGAAAGCCGGUCUCAGUUCGGAUUGGGGUCUGCAACUCGACCUCAUGAAGUCGGAGUCGCUAGUAAUCGCAGAUCAGCAACGCUGCGGUGAAUACGUUCCCGGGGCUUGCACACACCGCCCGU
This 828-nucleotide ribosomal RNA is filed under the name uncultured bacterium. Its description in RNAcentral is "bacterial SSU rRNA". It matches the Rfam family "Bacterial small subunit ribosomal RNA", at positions 574 to 1397 of the family's 1533-position model. The record is from RNAcentral.